This 432-nucleotide ribosomal RNA is filed under the name uncultured bacterium. RNAcentral's name for it is "partial 16S ribosomal RNA". It matches the Rfam family "Bacterial small subunit ribosomal RNA", at positions 29 to 506 of the family's 1533-position model. The record is from RNAcentral.
AACGAACGCUGGCGGCAUGCCUAACACAUGCAAGUCGAACGAGACCUUCGGGUCUAGUGGCGCACGGGUGCGUAACGCGUGGGAACCUGCCCUUAGGUUCGGAAUAACUCCCCGAAAGGGGUGCUAAUACCGGAUAAUGUCUUCGGACCAAAGAUUUAUCGCCUUUGGAUGGGCCCGCGUUGGAUUAGCUAGUUGGUAGGGUAAAAGCCUACCAAGGCGACGAUCCAUAGCUGGUCUGAGAGGAUGAUCAGCCACACUGGGACUGAGACACGGCCCAAACCCCGACGGAGGGCGGCAGUGGGGAAUAUGGGACAAUGGGGGAAGGCCGAAUCCAGCCAGGCCGCGGAGGUUUUGAAGGCCUAAGGGUUGUAAAGCUCUUUUACCCGGGAUGAUAAGAACAGUCCCGGGGGAAAAAGCCCCGGCAAACUCCGU